AGUUCUUUGAAGAUGUCAUUCAUGGAGCAUUUUCUGCAGGAUGGAGUGUGUUAGCACUUCACAACUAUUUUAUCAGUUGGAAACACACACAGGAAUUCCCGCUUGGGAAUGACCAUCAAGUUCCUGGCCACUACAGGAAGGUGUGCAUAAAAAGCACUUCCAAAGCGGGCAGCCUCUACCAGUCCUCUCCAUUCAGCGAGGGAACACAAGGGAAGUACACAUUUGUAUAUAUUGAUGAAACCAAAAUUGGGAGAUGGCCUAGAUGAUAGGCCUGAAGUCAGUCAAUUGAGUAGAGGUGGCAGCUGCAACCACGGAGUCUCAAGACGCUUGGCAUUGUGUUCUCUAUUCUAUGAUGGAAGCUACCCUUACCUCUAACCUCAACAGCCAAUGAACCUGGAGGCCUGCAGUAUUUCAAAGUGGGAUGGGAUUGUUGACUCCUCUAAACCAGGCCAAGCCUUGGAUUUCGUCCCACAGAAAAACAAGAUCAAGAGUAUCUGCCUGCUUUACGGUCCAUUAUUACUUUUGGUACGCGCUAGGCCAGUCUCAAACUCGUACCGUGAGUAAUAAUGCACUGUGGCUGUCACUGCCAACGAGGGACAGACCACACCACCAUAUCUUACUUUCACUGUUCUCCAUAUUCCUAUGCAUCUCGUUGUUGUAAAGCAAGAAAUGUGAAAUAUUCAUGAAAACAGUGUUUGAAACUCUAAGGCCUUGUGUGGGGAAAGACAGCAUUUUAAUAUAAUCCUUUGUCUACUUUCAUAAAGACUAUUAAUUUUACUUAAAUAUUAUUGUUGAGUUGUUUACAUGAAAUAUGUUGAAUUUUCUGUACCGUGUGAUUGUAAGCUAUAUGCAAAUGAAUAAUAAUAAAAAUACUUUAAUUUAGCUUA
Oncorhynchus tshawytscha (Chinook salmon) is the source of this 887-nucleotide long non-coding RNA. RefSeq lists it as uncharacterized. The transcript is spliced from 2 exons. NCBI's taxonomy places the organism in Eukaryota, Metazoa, Chordata, Actinopteri, Salmoniformes, Salmonidae. The record is from RefSeq and is a predicted model, not a curated record.